ACGGGGCGCAGCAGGCGCGAAAACUCUGCAAUGCGCGAAAGCGUGACAGGGGAACUCCAAGUGUGCCUGUAAAACAGGCACUUUUGCGGUAUGUAAAAAGUACCGAGAAUAAGGGGUGGGCAAGACUAGUGCCAGCCUCCGCGGUAACACUAGCAUCCUCAAGUGGUAGUCGCGAUUAUUUGGCUUAAAGCGUCCGUAGUCGGACUGUUAAGUCCUCUGUGAAAUCCUGCGGCUUAACCGUAGGGCUUGCAGAGGAUACUAGCAGUCUUGGAGCCGGGAGAGGUUGGGGGUAUUCCUAGGGUAGCGGCGAAAUGCUAUAAUCCUAGGAGGACCACCGAUAGCGAAGGCACCCAACUAGAACGGGCUCGACGAUGAGGGACGAGAGCUAGGGGAGCAAACCGGAUUAGAUACCCGGGUAGUCCUAGCCGUAAACGAUGCAGGCUGAGUGUCUCCUGAGCCUCGCGUUCAGGAGGUGCUGAAGGGAAACCGUUAAGCCUGCCGCCUGGGGAGUACGGUCGCAAGGCUGAAACUUAAAGGAAUUGGCGGGGGAGCACCACAAGGGGUGGAGUCUGCGGUUCAAUCGGAUACAACGCCGAGAAACUUACCAGGGGUGACGGCAGUAUGACAGCCAAGCUGAUGACUUUGCUUGACGAGCCGAGAGGUAGUGCAUGGCCGUCGUCAGCUCGUACCGUGAGGCGUGCGGUUAAGUCCGUUAACGAGCGAGACCCGUGCCUCUAUUUGCUACCGGCUCCGUGAGGGGCUGGGCACUAUAGAGGGACCGCUGGCGAUGAGUCAGAGGAAGGCGCGGUCGACGAUAGGUCUGUAUGCUCCGAAUCUCCUGGGCUACACGUGGACUACAAUGGCACGGACAAUGGGAUGCGACGCUGUAAGGUGUAAGCCAAUCCCCUAAACCGUGUCUCAGUUCGGAUCGAGGGUUGAAACUCACCCUCGUGAAGGUGAAAUCCCUAGUAAUCGCUGGUAACUAUCCAGCGGUGAAUAUGUCCCUGCUCCUUGCACACACCGCCCGUCAAACCAACCGAGUGAAUCUAGAACGAGGCCUUCUCAUCGGGGAGGGUCGAGUUCUAGGCUCGCAAGGGGGGUUAAGUCGUAACAAGGUAGCCGU
RNAcentral lists this ribosomal RNA (1123 nucleotides) under uncultured archaeon. Its description in RNAcentral is "bacterial SSU rRNA". It matches the Rfam family "Archaeal small subunit ribosomal RNA", at positions 325 to 1450 of the family's 1478-position model. The record is from RNAcentral.